GGCCCGUGGGGUAGCUUGGUAUCCUUGGAGCUUCGGGAGUUCUUGACCCCGGUUCAAAUCCGGGCGGGCCCAC
Molecule: transfer RNA, 73 nt
Filed under: methanogenic archaeon ISO4-H5
Lineage: Archaea; Methanobacteriati; Thermoplasmatota; Thermoplasmata
Description: tRNA-Pro
Rfam family: tRNA
About the family: Transfer RNA (tRNA) molecules are approximately 80 nucleotides in length. Their secondary structure includes four short double-helical elements and three loops (D, anti-codon, and T loops).
Source: RNAcentral